RNAcentral lists this ribosomal RNA (525 nucleotides) under uncultured bacterium. RNAcentral's name for it is "bacterial SSU rRNA". It matches the Rfam family "Bacterial small subunit ribosomal RNA", at positions 8 to 526 of the family's 1533-position model. The record is from RNAcentral.
AGGGUUUGAUUCUGGCUCAGGAUGAACGCUAGCGGCAGGCUUAACACAUGCAAGUCGAGGGGUAACAGGGAGUGCUUGCACUCCGCUGACGACCGGCGCACGGGUGCGUAACGCGUAUGCAACCUACCUUUUACAGGGGGAUAGUCAAGAGAAAUUUUGAAUAAUACCCCAUACGAUCUUAGUCACACCUGUGAUUUAGAGGAAAACUUCGGUGGUAAAAGAUGGGCAUGCGUCCUAUUAGUUAGAUGGUGAGGUAACGGCUCCCCAUGACUACGAUAGGUAGGGGUCCUGAGAGGGAGAUCCCCCACACUGGUACUGAGACACGGACCAGACUCUUACGGGAGGCAGCAGUGAGGAAUAUUGGACAAUGGAGGCAACUCUGAUCCAGCCAUGCCGCGUGCAGGAAGACUGCCCUAUGGGUUGUAAACUGCUUUUAUACAGGAAGAAACACUCCCUCGUGAGGGGGCUUGACGGUACUGUACGAAUAAGGAUCGGCUAACUCCGUGCCAGCCGCCGCGGUAAUAC